This 429-nucleotide ribosomal RNA is filed under the name Bacillota bacterium. Its description in RNAcentral is "Firmicutes bacterium partial 16S ribosomal RNA". It matches the Rfam family "Bacterial small subunit ribosomal RNA", at positions 355 to 776 of the family's 1533-position model. Lineage: Bacteria; Bacillati; Bacillota. The record is from RNAcentral.
UAGGGAAUCUUCCACAAUGGACGCAAGUCUGAUGGAGCAACGCCGCGUGAGUGAAGAAGGUUUUCGGAUCGUAAAGCUCUGUUGUUGGUGAAGAAGGAUAGAGGCAGUAACUGGUCUUUAUUUGACGGUAAUCAACCAGAAAGUCACGGCUAACUACGUGCCAGCAGCCGCGGUAAUACGUAGGUGGCAAGCGUUGUCCGGAUUUAUUGGGCGUAAAGCGAGCGCAGGCGGAAUGAUAAGUCUGAUGUGAAAGCCCACGGCUCAACCGUGGAACUGCAUCGGAAACUAUCAUUCUUGAGUGCAGAAGAGGAGAGUGGAAUUCCAUGUGUAGCGGUGGAAUGCGUAGAUAUAUGGAAGAACACCAGUGGCGAAGGCGGCUCUCUGGUCUGCAACUGACGCUGAGGCUCGAAAGCAUGGGUAGCGAACAGG